This 216-nucleotide long non-coding RNA is filed under the name Lathyrus oleraceus (garden pea). RNAcentral's name for it is "Pisum sativum (pea) long non-coding RNA (PSAT_LNC037997)". Lineage: Eukaryota; Viridiplantae; Streptophyta; Magnoliopsida; Fabales; Fabaceae. The record is from RNAcentral.
UAAGGGGUACUAGGCUAAAAUUCAAAGAGAUAAAAGAGACUUGAAAGAAACUGUGGGAGUUGAAUUUAUAAAAUAUUUCAUUCACUUGAAUAACUCUAUAGCAAUUGUUUUCUCUUAUCCUUCAUUUUUUUUGAAGGAGUAUGUAUUGACAUGUAUUGAAAUAUUAUAAACAUAAUUCCUUUUUUUUCUUCCUCUUAUCCUUCUAUUUUUUCAUUC